AGGGGCAGCACGAGGUAGCAAUACUUUGGUGGCGACCGGCGCACGGGUGAGUAACGCGUAUGCAACCUACCCUGUACAGGGGGAUAGCCCGGAGAAAUUCGGAUUAAUACCCCAUAAUGAUAUCUGGAGGCAUCUUUGGAUAUUUAAAGAUUUAUCGGUACGGGAUGGGCAUGCGUAACAUUAGCUAGUUGGUAGGGUAACGGCCUACCAAGGCAACGAUGUUUAGGGGUCCUGAGAGGGUGAUCCCCCACACUGGUACUGAGACACGGACCAGACUCCUACGGGAGGCAGCAGUGAGGAAUAUUGGUCAAUGGGCGUAAGCCUGAACCAGCCAUCCCGCGUGCAGGAAGACGGCGCUAUGCGUUGUAAACUGCUUUUCCAGGGGAAGAAAACUCUCGUCGUGACGAGACUUGCCGGUACCUUGGGAAUAAGCAUCGGCUAACUCCGUGCCAGCAGCCGCGGUAAUACGGAGGAUGCGAGCGUUAUCCGGAUUUAUUGGGUUUAAAGGGUGCGUAGGCGGAUUAAUAAGUCAGUGGUGAAAACCUGCAGCUUAACUGUAGAACUGCCAUUGAUACUGUUAGUCUUGAGUACGGUCAAGGUAGGCGGAAUGUGUAAUGUAGCGGUGAAAUGCUUAGAUAUUACACAGAACACCGAUUGCGAAGGCAGCUUACUGGGCCAUUACUGACGCUGAUGCACGAAAGCGUGGGGAGCGAACAGGAUUAGAUACCCUGGUAGUCCACGCCCUAAACUAUGUCAACUAGGUGUUGGGUGGGUAAAACCAUUUAGUACCGUAGCUAACGC
Molecule: ribosomal RNA, 801 nt
Filed under: uncultured bacterium
Lineage: Bacteria
Description: bacterial SSU rRNA
Rfam family: Bacterial small subunit ribosomal RNA
Source: RNAcentral